Molecule: ribosomal RNA, 440 nt
Filed under: uncultured bacterium
Lineage: Bacteria
Description: partial 16S ribosomal RNA
Rfam family: Bacterial small subunit ribosomal RNA
Source: RNAcentral
CCUACGGGGGGCAGCAGUGGGGAAUAUUGCACAAUGGGGGAAACCCUGAUGCAGCGACGCCGCGUGAGUGAAGAAGUAUUUCGGUACGUAAAGCUCUAUCAGCAGGGAAGAAAAUGACGGUACCUGUCUAAGAAGCCCCGGCUAACUACGUGCCAGCAGCCGCGGUAAUGCGGAGGGGGCAAGCGUUAUCCGGAUUUACUGGGGGUAAAGGGAGCGUAGGCGGCAGCGUAAGUCUGGAGUGAAAUCCCAUGGCUUAACCAUGGAACUGCUUUGGAAACUGUGCAGCUAGAGUGCAGGAGAGGUAAGCGGAAUUCCUAGUGUAGCGGUGAAAUGCGUAGAUAUUAGGAGGAACACCAGUGGCGAAGGCGGCUUACUGGACUGUAACUGACGUUGAGGCUCGAAAGCGUGGGGAGCGAACAGGAUUAGAUACCCUUGUAGUC